This 497-nucleotide ribosomal RNA is filed under the name uncultured bacterium. Its description in RNAcentral is "partial 16S ribosomal RNA". It matches the Rfam family "Bacterial small subunit ribosomal RNA", at positions 28 to 507 of the family's 1533-position model. The record is from RNAcentral.
GAUGAACGCUGGCGGCGUGCCUAAUACAUGCAAGUCGAGCGAACGGACGAGAAGCUUGCUUCUCUGAUGUUAGCGGCGGACGGGUGAGUAACACGUGGAUAACCUACCUAUAAGACUGGGAUAACUUCGGGAAACCGUAGCUAAUACCGGAUAAUAUUUUGAACCGCAUGGUUCAAAAGUGAAGGACGGUCUUGCUGUCACUUAUAGAUGGAUCCGCGCUGCAUUAGCUAGUUGGUAAGGUAACGGCUUACCAAGGCAACGAUGCAUAGCCGACCUGAGAGGGUGAUCAGCCACACUGGAACUGAGACACGGUCCAGACUCCUACGGGAGGCAGCAGUAGGGAAUCUUGCGCAAUGGGCGAAAGCCUGACGGAGCAACGCCGCGUGAGUGAUGAAGGUCUUCGGAUCGUAAAACCCUGUUAUUAGGGAAGAACAUAUGUGUAAGUAUCUGUGGCCAUCUUGACGGUACCUAAUGAGAAAGCCACGGCUAACUACGUG